ACUUGAGUAUUACGUUUGUUGCAACCUCUCCAGCUGUGACAAUACAGAUCUGUUCAUUUAACUUUGACUUGGAGUCCUUAGUGGUAAUUUCCGUGACAAUUUGGCUUCACGAAACAGAAUGAUUGAUUCGACAUGUGGAGCUUGGCAGUGAUGGUCUGUUAGGUAACACCGGUGGCGCAUUCCAUGUGAAGGCGUGCAAGUGAAAUAACCAGACCUCAUACCAGACCUCCACUGUGGGCUGCACGGGAGGAAAAACAUCAUCUACAAAACCUGGAAGGAGUGACAACUGAAUUUCAGGGCUGAGUCACUGGCUUACUUGCACUCUUCCAUGCCGUCCCUAGGAGGGGUGCGUCACUUGAGUGGGUUGAGUCACUGACGUGAUCUUCCUGUUUGGACCCUUGGGUUGUGCCGUGGCGGAGAUCUUUGUGGGCUAUACUUGGCCUUGUCUCAGGAUGGACCUGAGCCCUGGGACCAUGCCUCAGGACUACCUAGCCUGAUGACUCCUUGCUGUCCCCAGUCCACCUGGCCGUGCUGCUGCUCCAGUUUCAACUGUUCUGCCUACGGCUAUGGAACACUGACCUGUUCACCGGACGAGCUACCUGUCCCAGACCUGCUGUUUUCAACUCUCUAGAGACAGCAGGAGCGGUAGAGAUACUCUCAAUGAUCGGCUAUAAAAUGCCAACUGACAUUUACUCCUGAGGUGCUGACCUGUUGCACCCUCGACAACCACUUUGAUUAUUAUUAUUUGACCCUGCUGGUCAUCUAUGAACAUUUGAACAUCUUGGCCAUGUUCUGUUAUAAUCUCCACCCGGCACAGCCAGAAGAGGACUGGCCACCCCUCAUAGCCUGGUUCCUUCCUAGGUUCUGGAUUUUCUAGGGAGUUUUUCCUAGCCACCGUGCUUCUGCACCUGCGUUGCUUGCUGUUUGGGAUUUUAGGCUGGGUUUCUGUACAGCACUUUGAGAUAUCAGCUGAUGUAAAAGGGCUUUAUAAAUCAAUUUGAUUUGAAGUUCAAGUGGAAUCAGUGUAAGGGAGGUGAUGCCAACCGUGCUGACCAACUCACUGCUGUGUUUGAUAAUGUAAUGACAACAUACUCAAAUCACACAGACUGGAAGAAAAUACAUUCCACCAUGACGAAGGACAAUGAGAGUUUUGAGGACUAUCAGGAACGAAUGGAGAAAAUCUUCCUCCAGCACUCUGGUCUGACCCCUGACCAAGAAUCAUACAGUGCCUUGUAUUCAUCCCCUUGGCUUUUUUCCUAGUUUGUUGUUUUACAACCUGUAAUAUUUUUAUUUGGAUUUCAUGUAAUGGAAAUACAAAAAUUAAUCCAAAUUGGUGAAGUGAAUUUUUUUAAAUGACUUGUUUAAAAAUAAGUAUUUAAAAAAAAAACGGAAAAGUGGUGCAUGCAUACCUAUUCACUCCCUUCGCUAUGAAGCCCCUAAAUAAGAUCUGGUGCAACCAAUUACCUUCAAACGUCACAUAGUUAAAUAAAGUCCACCUGUGUGCAAUCUAAGUGUCAUAUAAUCUGUCACAUAAUCUCAGUAUAUUUACACCAGUUCUGAAAGGCCCCAGAGUCUGCAAUACCACUAAGCAAAGGGCACCACCAAGCAAGCGGCACCGUGAAGACCAAGGAGCUCUCCAAACAGGUCAGAGACAAAGUUGUGGAGAAGUACAGAUCAGGGUUGGGUUACAAACCUGCCAAGAGAGGGCCGCCCACCAAAACUCACAGACCAGGCAACGAGGUCAUUAAUCAGAGAGGCAACAAACAGACCAAACAUAACCCUGAAGGAGCUGCAAAGUUCCACAGGUGAGAUUGGAGUAUCUGUCCAUAGGACUAUUUUAAGUCGCACACUCCACAGAGCUGGGCUUUACGGAAGAGCGGCCAGAAAAAAAGCUAUUUCAUUAAAAAAAAUUAAAAAUAAGCAAACACGUUGGGUGUUCGCCAAAAGGCAUGUGGGAGACUCCCCAAACAUAUGGAAGAAGGUACUCUGGUCAGAUGAGACUAAAAUGUUGCUUUUUGGCCAUUAAGGAAAACGCUAUGUCUGGCUAUGUUUUUCAUCGGCAGGGACAGGGAAACUAUUAAGAAUUGAAGGAAUGAUGGAUGUCGCUAAAUACAGGGAAAUUCUUGAGGGAAACCCUUUUCAGUCUUCCAGAGAUUUGAGACUGGGACAGAAGUUCACCUUCCUGCAGGACAUUGACCCUAAGCAUACUGCUAAAGAAACAUGAGUGGUUUAAUGGGAAACAUUUAAAUGUCUUAGAAUGGCCUAGUCAAAGCCCAGACUUCAAUCCAAUUGAUGACUUAAAGAUUGUUGUACACCAGCGGAACCCAUCUAACUUGAAGGAGCUGGAGCAGUUUUGCCUUGAAGAAUGGGCAAAAAUUGCUAGAUGUACCAAGCUUAUAGCGACAUGCCCCAAGAGACUUGCAGCUGUAAUUGCUGCAAAAGGUGGCUCUUAAAGUAUUGACUUUUGAUGUGGGUGAAUAGUUAUGCACGCUCAAGUUUUCAGUUUAUUUCUUGUUUGUUUCACAAUUUGUAUUUUAUUUUGCAUCUUCAAGGUGGUAGACAUGUUGUGUCAAUUAAAUGAUACAAACCCCCUAAAACUCCAUUUUAAUUCCAGGUUGUAAGGCAACAAAAUAGGGAAAAUGCUAAGUGUGUGAAUACUUUCGCAAGCCACUGUAUGGCAGCCUGCUGUGGCAUUCUGUGGUUUCUGGCCUGCGACAAGACCUGAAGACAGCUGUGACAAAUACAUGCAUUGGGUGUUGGGUAGGAGAAAAAUACCCUUGCUGAUUGUCAAAUCUCGCAUCACCCAUGCAGAAAAACAGAUUAGGUAGAAGAACUCCAAGGCUGGUGCUAAAGCUGCAUAGUUGAUGCUUUUCGAUAGAGGAGGAAGAAGAGGAUACCAUGGAGGUCACGGCCUUAGAGGAGAAAGGGGACGAGGCAGAGGGCGAGGAGCUCAAGGCAUCUCUGGAGGGAGAGACUGAAACUGCUACAACUGUAGCAAGCCGGAACAUUUCGUAAGGGACUGUGCAGGUGACGGACAUGACCAGGGGGAAUGGCCAGGCCCACCUGAAGAUGUAAGGGUUGGAAAGCCCUUUGGUGGGCAAAGAACAUAGGAUGAGGUGUAAAAUAGAAGAAGACUCAGAUGAUGAAGAACCACAAGGAGCAUGCCAGAUGCUGAAACUUACCACCUUUUUGAUUGAAACUCCUCUGAUAGAAAUACUCGGCCAGAAUAAAUAUUGAAAUACUCAGCCUGAAGAUUUGAUUCCUAGUAGACACCGGGGCUGCAAUCUUGGUGUUGAAACAAUCUGGCCUGAAAGUAAUCCCCUCAACAAUAAAAACUACUCCACACUGUUGGAGCAUCAGGAAUUCCCUCUGAAGAAUGCCUCACUUACCCCCUACAUGUUAAAUAGAAAGAUACACACAUACGUGUCCCAGGGUUAUUAUGCCUGGCAUUUGAACAUUCCUGAGGUGGAAGGUGAACUACGAGAGAGAUCACUUACCUCCCCACACCACUGUGCAUGGGAGGUCCAGGAACAUCUUCACUGCACAGCAGUUCUCCCCUCGUGUGAAGAAGACCCUGAAUAUCAACAAAGAUGGACAAAGCAGAAAUGCAGAGUGGAAGUGACAAUUGAUGGAAUAUACUACGGUGAGGAAUUUACAGCAGCCCGGAGGUCUGCUGUCUGAUGCACGGAUUACACUGUAUGAAGUGACAGGUAAUGUCUCACACUGUAGUAUGUAAAAACAAACAAAUAAAACAAUCGAGAAUGAAGAGAUGUUGGCCCUUGGAUGAAGACUGUGAUGACAGCCACUGAUUGGAUAGUCUGGGAAGGUGAUGGGAAGUGGUCACCAUCAACAGAAACCUUUUCCUCCCAUUUUCUGGGCUACCACUUGAGCGAUACCAAAGAAAUAACCUAUUCCUGCCGAGAGUAUGAUGGUCGUGUCCCAAGAUAACUCCCACAUACCAUGGCUGGAUGAAGUGGCAGAACAGCUCUGGGCUGUCUCCAAGACCGAUAUUGGGAAGAUGAGAAGUGCCAACCCGGUGAAAGUUGAAAUUGACAUUUUUAUUCAUAGAAUUGCAGGGGAAGAGUACAAUACCUUUUCAUUGUGCAGCUCCCGUUGCCCUGCGCGCUUGUUCGUUGAGCUGUAGAUCCACUCGGGUGUCCCCAAAAGUUUUCAAAAGCACCAUUGCUUGUAAGUGCCCAGCCGUGUCUCAUUGCUGCCUUGGUUAGACAACUCAAGCUUGCAAAGCCAGUGUGGCUCCAAACACCAAAUCUAUCACUUGCAAAUAAUAGGCAUUCCCAGCAGUGCAGUUUGCAGUGCUUCUCGGAGCCCAUGAGCCAUUGUUGUACAGUCUAUCUGUGCGUUUUAAUUCCACCGAUAAGUAAUUUUCUAUCGACAUGGAGGCUAAUGCUGAAAGCCGAGUCUGUCCAGUAGCAUUUCUGGAAUACGUUUUGAUUCGCUUUAAGGCCGAGAAUGACCGCUCGACAGAAGCCGUGGACACAGGGAUAAGUCACUGUCACACAUGCCAAUGUGUAAAGUUGCCCCAUGUCCUCAUUCAGAUUUUUCUGCUUAAGGAAAUCAAGGAGAUCAGGGGGACUUUUUCCUUCAAAAUCAGUCAUAGGAUACAUUACAGUCAGUUCUGUUUUGUUUUGUGUCUAGCUUGGAUAGGUCGAACAGUGUUCCGUGACUCUCUGUUAAGCUGGAGAAGGCUGUUUGCGGAAAUUUUUACCGGUAGGUCUGAAAGUGCUGGGGGUCCAGGAGGGUGAGAAACAUUCAUUUUUCGUGGUUUUGAAACCUGUGUCGUAUCUGGCAAAGAAUGUUGUCCAGAAUAUUGCUGUGGAGUUGUUGGUAGUAUGUGUGAGGGUCUCCUUGUGAUGGGCCUCUGCGUGUGCUGGGUGAACUUGAGAUGCGCGCUGUGUCAUCGUAGAUUUGACUGAACCUGCGCCUCUCUCGCUCAAUUGUAAUAAUAGGCAUUCCCAGCAGUGCAGUUUGCUGUGCUUCUCGGAGCCUGUGAGCCAUUGAUAGCGCUCGUAGUUGGAACUUUGAAAGAGGUGAACGAACCCCUUACCCACCUGUUAGAGGCUUUGUAGCGUCGGCGUCGGGCGACCUCUCCUGACAAUGUCUAACUUUUCUUGAAAAGUUUGUCUUGAGAAUGGCGUUAUAAUUAUAUCCUCGACCAAAUCAAUAUCUGCGCUUUUAACGGACCUCUGAGACUAUCACAGUGCAGGUGCAUUUAUACAGAAACUUGAUUACACACAGGUGGAUUGUAUUUAUCAUCAUUAGUCAUUUAGGUCAACAUUGGAUCAUUCAGAGAUCCUCACUGAACUUCUGGAGAGAGUUUGCAGCACUGAAAGUAAAGGGGCUGAAUAAUUUUGCACGCCCAAUUUUUCAGUUUUUGAUUUGUUAAAAAAGUUUGAAAUAUCCAAUAAAUGUCGUUCCACUUCAUGAUUGUGUCCCACUUGUUGUUGAUUCUUCACAAAAACAGUUUUAUAUCUUUAUGUUUGAAGCCUGAAAUGAAGCAGAAAAGGGUAUUAUUCCCAUCCAUCAGGCCCUGGUUGAAAAUGGGACUUUGAUCCCAUGCCCAAAUCCUCGCCGAAACACCCCUAUUUUAUCUGUUAGGAUGCAAUCUGGUGAAUAUUGUUUCGUGCAAGAUCUUAGAAUAGUUAAUGAUGCUUUUUACGCAAGAGCACCCCUGGUCCUGAACACAGUUACUAUUCUUCCCCAUGUUCCCGCAGGGAGCUGUUGUUUUUCGGCGAAUGCUUUUUUCAGCAUCCCUGUUGACCCUGGAUCACAGGAUUGGUUCCCUUUUACAUUUCUUGGGAAAAAAUGGACUUGUGAUGCCACAAGGCUGAGUUGAAUCACCUGCCAUUUUUGCCCAGGAAAUGGUGAGGAACCUGGAAGGUUUUAUUCGCCCCAGAGGUAGUUAUGCGGUUCAAUACGUUGAUGACCUGUUGGUCUGUUCCUCAUCUGAGGAGAUUUGUCACGAAGAUACUAAGGCACUGUUGAUUUUCUGAGCUGAGAAUGGUCACCAAGUGUCCCCCUCUAAGAUGCAGUUGUGUAGAAGUUCUGUUAAAUAUUUGGGUCAUGACCCAGCUAUCAUCCAGAAGCAGUGGCGUGCCGUGGGCCUGGGGGCUGGGCCUUCAGUGAGGUCCUACACAGUCCCACCCGAAUUAAUCCACCUCUUAUUACCAACAUUAUGAUGCCAUGGCUCUAGACACUAUACAUUUAGACAGAAACGCAGUAUAAAACCAGACGUUGCGUCCCCUUGAAAUUGACAUUUUUAUUCAUAGAAUUGCAGGGGAAGAGUACAAUACCUUUUCAUUGUGCAGCUCCCGUUGCCCUGCGCGCUUGUUCGUUGAGCUGUAGAUCCACUCGGGUGUCCCCAAAAGUUUUCAAAAGCACCAUUGCUUGUAAGUGCCCAGCCGUGACUCAUUGCUGCCUUGGUUAGACAACUCAAGCUUGCAAAGCCAGUGUGGCUCCAAACACCAAAUCUAUCAGUGUUUGCAGUGCUUCUCGGAGCCCAUGAGCCAUUGUUGUACAGUCUAUCUGUGCGUUUUAAUUCCACCGAUAAGUAAUUUUCUAUCGACAUGGAGGCUAAUGCUGAAAGCCGAGUCUGUCCAGUAGCAUUUCUGGAAUACGUUUUGAUUCGCUUUAAGGCCGAGAAUGACCGCUCGACAGAAGCCGUGGACACAGGGAUAAGUCACUGUCACACAUGCCAAUGUGUAAAGUUGCCCCAUGUCCUCAUUCAGAUUUUUCUGCUUAAGGAAAUCAAGGAGAUCAGGGGGACUUUUCCCUUCAAAAUCAGUCAUAGGAUACAUUACAGUCAGUUCUGUUUUGUUUUGUUUUUAGCUUGGAUAGGUCGAACAGUGUUCCGUGACUCUCUGUUAAGCUGGAGAAAGCUGUUUGCGGGAAUUUUUCCGGUAGGUCUGAAAGUGCUGGGGGUCCAGGAGGGAGAGAAACAUACAUUUUUCGUGGUCUUGAAACCUGUGUCGUAUCUGGCAAAGAAUGUUGUCCAGAAUAUUGCUGUGGAGUUGUUGGUAGUAUGUGUGAGGGUCUCCUUGUGAUGGGCCUCUGCGUGCGCUGGGUGAACUUGAGAUGUGCGCUGUGUCAUCGUAGAUUUGACUGAACCUGCGCCUCUCUCGCUCAAUUGUAAUAAUAGGCAUUCCCAGCAGUGCAGUUUGCUGUGCUUCUCGGAGCCUGUGAGCCAUUGAUAGCGCUCUUAGUUGGAACUUUGAAAGAGGCGAACGAACCCCUUUCCCGCCUGUGACAGGCUUUGUAGCGUCGGCGUCGGGCGACCUCUCCUGACAAUGUCUAACUUUUCUUGAAAAGUUUGUCUUGAGAAUGGCGUUAUAAUUAUAUCCUCGACCAAAUCGAUAUCUUCUCCUCCUUCCGCUAUUGUGGGUUAAAAAAACCAGCUUAGUAGUAUGCAAAUUAAUUAGUUUAUCAAAUUCAGUUACCUAGUUCUGAGGUUUGCAUAGACCUGCCCAUAUACAGUGCCUUGCGAAAGUAUUCGGCCCCCUUGAACUUUGCGACCUUUUGCCAGGCUCAGAGGUCCGUUAAAAGCGCAGAGGCCUCCAGUGCGCCCUCCCAGUCCGGUGCGUCCUGUGCCUGCUCCUCACACUCGCCCUGAGGUGCGUGUCACCAUUCCGGUGCCACCUUUGCCUGCUCCACGCAUCAGGACUCCAGUGCGUCUUACCAGUCCAGAGCUUCAGGCGAUGGUCCCCAGGCCAGAGCUUCAGGCGAAGGUCCCCAGUCCAGAGCUUCAGUCGACGGUCCCCAGUCCAGAGCUUCAGGCGACGGUCCUCAGUCCAGAGCUCUGGCGACGGUCCCCAGUCCAGAGCUUCUGGCGAUGAUUUCCAGUCCAGAGCUUCCGGCGAUGGUUCACAGUCCGGAACCUCCAACAACGUUCCACAGUCCGGAACCUCCUGAGACGGUCCACGGGCAGUACUCCAAAAAGGGCUGUAAGGGGAGACGGAUCUAUAACAGUGUCAUACAGUGCCUUGCGAAAGUAUUCACAAAAAAAUACAGUUUUAUAUCUGUAUGUUUGAAGCCUGAAAUGUGGCAAAAGGUCGCAAAGUUCAAGGGGGCCGAAUACUUUCGCAAGGCACUGUAGGACCUGCCUCUCGAUAUCGUUAAUCCAAUCAAAAGACGUGCACGCACUAUGCCUGCUAGCUGGCUCCUGUGUAACACUGGAGCCAGCCACCAGGCGUACAAUAGCCAACUCUAAAGCUUAUUGGUUGACACUAAAUUUUCAUUUCCAUUCUCUUUAAGCUACAAGCACCCGCACUGUUGAUUCUGAAGGCCUGAGGGCAGAUUUUAGACCCCUGGCAACACAUGAUGGCUGAAUAUGAUUGGAUAAAAGAUCUAACAUAAAGACCAUCCCUCCAAAUCUCAACCUGGGGCUGGAAGCAGUGCAACCAAGAGGAAAGCUAUGAAAUGAAGAGUAUAACUCUUUCUCUGGGGAAUAAUUUAAUACAUAUUUGUGGGAAAAUACAUUUAAAAAAAAUUCUAUUCUGAUGUUGUUUUGGCCAGCAGAGAAGGCCUUACUGGCCCUGACGGCCCACCACUGUCCAGAAGGUGAGGUCAGUACACGUGCAUCUAAGCUGGGACCAAGAGACUGAAAAACAACUUCUAUCCCAAGGCCAUCAGACUGUUAAACAGCCAUCACUAGCACAUUAGAGGCUGCUGCCCUAUUAUACAUAGAUUUGAAAUCACUGGCCACACUAGUCACUUUAAUAAUGUUGACAUAUUUUGCAUUACUCAUGUCAUAUGUAUAUACUGUAUUCUACCCUUUCUUGUUCGGAUGUUCUGUGUCUGCUCUCGGGGAUGGGAUUGAUAGAAAAACAGAAAGAAGGGAGCACAUUGAUACUUUGGCCCAAUGCCUAGAAACUAUGUGUGCAAGGUCAUGAUCAGCGUAUUGCAUCUUGAGAGCAGAGAUCUCUAGUUUGUGCAUGAGUAUAAAGAGUGCUGAAGGGAGAGCACCCCUGCAGGACUUGGGCUUUGAGUGUUACGUUUGUUGUAACCUCUUCGGUCGUGAUAAUAAAGAUUUGUUAAUAUAACUUUGA
This is a long non-coding RNA of Oncorhynchus masou masou (cherry salmon), 9062 nucleotides long. RefSeq lists it as uncharacterized. The transcript is spliced from 3 exons. NCBI's taxonomy places the organism in Eukaryota, Metazoa, Chordata, Actinopteri, Salmoniformes, Salmonidae. The record is from RefSeq and is a predicted model, not a curated record.